This 571-nucleotide ribosomal RNA is filed under the name uncultured bacterium. RNAcentral's name for it is "bacterial SSU rRNA". It matches the Rfam family "Bacterial small subunit ribosomal RNA", at positions 742 to 1300 of the family's 1533-position model. The record is from RNAcentral.
GACGCUGAAGCGCGAAAGCGUGGGGAGCCAAACCAGGAUUAGAUACCCCUGGUAGUCCCCCGCCGUAAACGAUGGGUACUAGGUGUUGGGAGGAUUGACCCUUUUCAGGCGCCGACGCUAACGCAUUAAGUACCCCGCCUGGGGAGUACGGCCGCAAGGCUGAAACUCAAAGGAAUUGACGGGGGCCCGCACAAGGCGGUGGAGCAUGUGGUUUAAUUCGAAGCAACGCGAAGAACCUUACCUGGGCUUGACAUGUCGGUAGUACUUCCCCCCGAAACGGGGAAGGACCCUUCGGGGAGCCGUCACAGGUGCUGCAUGGCUGUCGUCAGCUCGUGUCGUGAGAUGUUGGGUUAAGUCCCGCAACGAGCGCAACCCUUGCCCGUAGUUACUAACAGUUCGGCUGAGGACUCUACGGGGACUGCCGGUGAUAAACCGGAGGAAGGUGGGGAUGACGUCCAAGUCAUCAUGGCCCUUAUGUCCAGGGCGACACACGUGCUACAAUGGCCGGUACAGAGGGCAGCGAUACCGCGAGGUGGAGCGAAUCCCAAAAAGCCGGUCCAAGUUCGGAUUG